AUGGGGUACUCCAAAACUCUAGCGGCUGGCCUGUUCGCCAUGCUUUUCCUAGCUCCAGCUGUCCUGGCUACCGACCCCGACCCUCUCCAGGACUUUUGCGUAGCCGACCUUGAUGGCAAGGCGGUCUCAGUGAACGGGCACCCAUGCAAGCCCAUGUCUGAGGCUGGCGAUGACUUCCUCUUCUCAUCCAAGCUGGCCAAGGCUGGCAACACGUCGACCCCAAACGGCUCGGCCGUGACGGAGCUUGACGUGGCCGAGUAG
RNAcentral lists this ribosomal RNA (261 nucleotides) under Triticum aestivum (bread wheat). Its description in RNAcentral is "partial small subunit ribosomal RNA". Lineage: Eukaryota; Viridiplantae; Streptophyta; Magnoliopsida; Poales; Poaceae. The record is from RNAcentral.